UGACUUCAGCCUGGUCAUGCUUGCUC
Molecule: non-coding RNA, 26 nt
Filed under: Homo sapiens (human)
Lineage: Eukaryota; Metazoa; Chordata; Mammalia; Primates; Hominidae
Source: RNAcentral